Molecule: ribosomal RNA, 253 nt
Filed under: uncultured bacterium
Lineage: Bacteria
Description: partial 16S ribosomal RNA
Rfam family: Bacterial small subunit ribosomal RNA
Source: RNAcentral
UACGGAGGGAGCUAGCGUUGUUCGGAAUUACUGGGCGUAAAGCGCGCGUAGGCGGAUUGAUUAGUCAGAGGUGAAAUCCCAGGGCUCAACCCUGGAACUGCCUUUGAUACUGUCAGUCUAGAGACCGAGAGAGGUGAGUGGAAUUUCCAGUGUAGAGGUGAAAUUCGUAGAUAUUGGAAAGAACACCAGUGGCGAAGGCGGCUCACUGGCUCGGUACUGACGCUGAGGUGCGAAAGCGUGGGGAGCAAACAGG